GAUGAACGCUGGCGGCGUGCCCAAUACAUGCAAGUCGAGCGAACGGACGAGAAGCUUGCUUCUCUGAUGUUAGCGGCGGACGGGUGAGUAACACGUGGAUAACCUACCUAUAAGACUGGGAUAACUUCGGGAAACCGGAGCUAAUACCGGAUGAUAUUUUGAACCGCAUGGUUCAAAAGUGAAAGACGGUCUUGCUGUCACUUAUAGAUGGAUCCGCGCUGCAUUAGCUAGUUGGUAAGGUAACGGCUUACCAAGGCAACGAUGCAUAGCCGACCUGAGAGGGUGAUCGGCCACACUGGAACUGAGACACGGUCCAGACUCCUACGGGAGGCAGCAGUAGGGAAUCUUCCGCAAUGGGCGAAAGCCUGACGGAGCAACGCCGCGUGAGUGAUGAAGGUCUUCGGAUCGUAAAACUCUGUUAUUAGGGAAGAACAUAUGUGUAAGUAACUGUGCACAUCUUGACGGUACCUAAUCAGAAAGCCACGGCUAACUACGUGCCAGCAGCCGCGGUAAUACGUAGGUGGCAAGCGUUAUCCGGAAUUAUUGGGCGUAAAGCGCGCGUAGGCGGUUUUUUAAGUCUGAUGUGAAAGCCCACGGCUCAACCGUGGAGGGUCAUUGGAAACUGGAAAACUUGAGUGCAGAAGAGGAAAGUGGAAUUCCAUGUGUAGCGGUGAAAUGCGCAGAGAUAUGGAGGAACACCAGUGGCGAAGGCGACUUUCUGGUCUGUAACUGACGCUGAUGUGCGAAAGCGUGGGGAUCAAACAGGAUUAGAUACCCUGGUAGUCCACGCCGUAAACGAUGAGUGCUAAGUGUUAGGGGGUUUCCGCCCCUUAGUGCUGCAGCUAACGCAUUAAGCACUCCGCCUGGGGAGUACGACCGCAAGGUUGAAACUCAAAGGAAUUGACGGGGACCCGCACAAGCGGUGGAGCAUGUGGUUUAAUUCGAAGCAACGCGAAGAACCUUACCAAAUCUUGACAUCCUUUGACAACUCUAGAGAUAGAGCCUUCCCCUUCGGGGGACAAAGUGACAGGUGGUGCAUGGUUGUCGUCAGCUCGUGUCGUGAGAUGUUGGGUUAAGUCCCGCAACGAGCGCAACCCUUAAGCUUAGUUGCCAUCAUUAAGUUGGGCACUCUAAGUUGACUGCCGGUGACAAACCGGAGGAAGGUGGGGAUGACGUCAAAUCAUCAUGCCCCUUAUGAUUUGGGCUACACACGUGCUACAAUGGACAAUACAAAGGGCAGCGAAACCGCGAGGUCAAGCAAAUCCCAUAAAGUUGUUCUCAGUUCGGAUUGUAGUCUGCAACUCGACUACAUGAAGCUGGAAUCGCUAGUAAUCGUAGAUCAGCAUGCUACGGUGAAUACGUUCCCGGGUCU
This 1372-nucleotide ribosomal RNA is filed under the name uncultured bacterium. Its description in RNAcentral is "bacterial SSU rRNA". It matches the Rfam family "Bacterial small subunit ribosomal RNA", at positions 28 to 1381 of the family's 1533-position model. The record is from RNAcentral.